Molecule: transfer RNA, 70 nt
Filed under: Podarcis lilfordi (Lilford's wall lizard)
Lineage: Eukaryota; Metazoa; Chordata; Lepidosauria; Squamata; Lacertidae
Description: tRNA.Ile
Source: RNAcentral
GAGUGGAACAAUGGGUCAGUGCAUCUGGCUGAUAACCAGAAGGUUAGUUGUUUGAGUCCACACAGGGACA